CAAUAGCGUAUAUUAAAGUUGUUGCAGUUAAAAAGCUCGUAGUUGGAUUUGUGGCGUACGGUGUGUUCCGGGCACUUGUUGUCUGAGUAACCUGCUGUUGCCAUCCUUGGGUGGAACCUGUGUGGCAUUAGGUUGUCGUGCAGGGGAUGCCCAUCAUUUACUGUGAAAAAAUUAGAGUGUUCAAAGCAGGCUUAUGCCGUUGAAUAUAUUAGCAUGGAAUAAUGAGAUAGGACUUUUUUGCUAUUUUGUUGGUUUGCGCAAAGAGGUAAUGAUUAAUAGGGACAGUUGGGGGUAUUCGUAUUCCAUUGUCAGAGGUGAAAUUCUUGGAUUUUUGGAAGACGAACUACUGCGAAAGCAUUGACCAAGGAUGUUUUCAUUAA
This 380-nucleotide ribosomal RNA is filed under the name uncultured eukaryote. Its description in RNAcentral is "partial 18S ribosomal RNA". It matches the Rfam family "Eukaryotic small subunit ribosomal RNA", at positions 592 to 976 of the family's 1831-position model. The record is from RNAcentral.